AUACGUAGGGAGCGAGCGUUGUCCGGAAUUACUGGGCGUAAAGGGCGCGUAGGCGGCGCUUCAAGUCGUCUGUCAAAUGGGAGGGCUUAACCCUUUUUCGCAGACGAAACUGGAGAGCUUGAGAAGCAGAGAGGCAAACAGAAUUCCUGGUGUAGCGGUGAAAUGCGUAGAUAUCAGGAAGAAUACCAGUGGCGAAGGUGGUUUGCUGGAUGCAUACUGACGCUGAAGCGCGAAAGCCAGGGGAGCAAACGGGAUUAGAUACCCCGGUAGUCCUGGCAGUAAACGAUGUAUGCUGGGUGUGAGACUAGCGAUAGUUUCGUGCCGAAGUUAACGCGAUAAGCAUACCGCCUGGGGAGUACGGUCGCAAGAUUGAAACUCAAAUGAAUUGACGGGG
This 394-nucleotide ribosomal RNA is filed under the name uncultured bacterium. RNAcentral describes it as "partial 16S ribosomal RNA". It matches the Rfam family "Bacterial small subunit ribosomal RNA", at positions 523 to 918 of the family's 1533-position model. The record is from RNAcentral.